AUGGUCACUGCUAACCGCUUUUGGUCCCAAAUCUUUGGUGUUGCUUUUUUUAAUAAACGUUGGCUACAUUUCUUUAUGCUAUUUGUACCCGUCACCGGUUUAUGGAUGAGUGCUAUUGGCAUAGUUGGCCUGGCUCUGAACCUACGUGCCUAUGACUUCGUUUCCCAGGAAAUCCGUGCAGCGAAAGAUCCUGCAUUUUAGACUUUCUACACAAAAAAGAUUCUUUUAAACGAGGGUAUUCGUGCGUGGAUGGCAGCUCAGGAUCAGCCUCAUGAAAAUAUUAUAUUCCCUUAG
Molecule: ribosomal RNA, 294 nt
Filed under: Triticum aestivum (bread wheat)
Lineage: Eukaryota; Viridiplantae; Streptophyta; Magnoliopsida; Poales; Poaceae
Description: partial small subunit ribosomal RNA
Source: RNAcentral